Molecule: ribosomal RNA, 253 nt
Filed under: uncultured bacterium
Lineage: Bacteria
Description: partial 16S ribosomal RNA
Rfam family: Bacterial small subunit ribosomal RNA
Source: RNAcentral
UACGUAGGGGGCAAGCGUUGUCCGGAUUUAUUGGGCGUAAAGAGCGUGUAGGCGGCCAGGUAGGUCAGCUGUGAAAACUCGAGGCUCAACCUCGAGACGCCGGUUGAAACCAUCUGGCUAGAGUCCGGAAGAGGAGAGUGGAAUUCCUGGUGUAGCGGUGAAAUGCGCAGAUAUCAGGAAGAACACCUAUGGCGAAGGCAGCUCUCUGGGACGGUACUGACGCUGAGACGCGAAAGCGUGGGGAGCGAACAGG